AAUGCAGUUGAGUGUGCAGGCUUCUCGCAGUUAAAACACUGUCCCUGGAGCCCUAAGAAGUCACAACGGCACGCCCUUCUAUAGCCAGUGUAAAUAGUCUGCAUCAUAAAUUUUACUCAAUAACCACUGAGGAAGUCAAACCCAGAAAUGGUUGAUUGCUACUGGAUAUGCCUGCCAGGUACUUAAAUUCCCGAAUUUGCAGAGGGCCCAGCAGUUAGAUUGGAUGGGCCUAUGUUGUCAUUCAGUUGACAGAAGUUAAUUGGCUUUGCCAGCAGAAAGAACCUGAGCCCCAAAAGAGGGGGGGACGCGAGGCCUCGUGGAGAUUUCAGCUCAAAUCCCCUCAGUAGGCCCGUGUCACACCAGCGACCUAAUCUCUCCAUCUCGGACCUCAUUACAACUGUGUUUGUCCAAAACAAUGGGCACAGAGUAAUGAAAGAGGCUGCCAUGCUGCCAAACAGAUUGGAAGAGAGAAAAUCAAUUUCUGAUGACAAUCCGCCGCACGGGAAUGAAAGCCACAGCGCUCCCCUGCCCUGGGAAAGAGAGGCAGAGGGAGACAGCCGCUAAUCUCAGGCCGAAUGAAUCAUUCGCACUUAUUUGGACAUCUGUGUUAACUUUCCUUUCUCUCUCCUCCCUCGCUCUCUCUCUCCUCCCUCUCCCUCUCUCCCCACCCUGUGAAAACUUUCCCUCGUCUUCAGUGGUUUUAUUAGAAGUUGUGGCAGGUGGCUGGGACUGUGACAGUACAGCAGGAAUGCUGCGGAGAGACACAGAAACUCAUUUAGUCCUCGGACAAGGGAAGCGUUGCACUUUUCAAAGUCUUUUCACACACUCCCAGCAGCACUGGGCCCGGAGCACUCCCAAGAUGUUAUUGCAGCAGAAUCAGAACAAAUCUGUAGUCCUGCGCAGACACAGACAAUGCCAUGUUUCAUGUAUCUAUUUGCUGAAGUCUAUAAGUUCUAUUCAGUGUUACAUUGUAUCUAGCUUGUAUUUCUUCAUAGCUUUAUGUGGGAAGAAAUACACCAGGGAUGUUUUGAAAGCAAUCCAGUUUGAUUCUUAGUGUGUUCAUGCUCCACGAAAAUGUAAAAAUUAGCAUUAGCGUCAGCGUUUGCCUGUUAAUCGUGAUGCGAUUAAGGACUAAACUUAACGUGUUCAUUUUUUAAUCGCACUAUUUUGACCUUUUAAUGCACCGUUUCUUGUCCUCAAAAUGCCACAGACACUUCCUAGUAGGCUUCUGGUAUCUCCUCCUGUAGUCAUGGAGAUAAUAAACACCAACACACCUCAAAUUUAAUAUAUAAUCUAGGCUACGACAUUGUCUUGCCACGGAAAUUAUUUGGCCCGCCAGAUUAUUCUGGCAGUCUGAUUUUUUAAAAUAAUUUUUAUUUUACAAUAUCGAUUUACAAAUAGCCUAUUCACCAAUCAGGCCGUGGGUUGGUGCUUAAACAAAUAUGAGAAAUAACACCAGAACGCACUAUUUGCACAUGCACUUGCAUAUUUCUCAAUAUGAAAAGUUCCUUAUUUUCAACUGAAUUCAAAGAUAAUGAACAGAGUAUUUUUGUUUUUUAUGCCCUUUAUCAUGUGUCCUACAUUUUGUGCAUGCACUUCUGCUGUAGCAUUUAUUUUAGUUUACCGAUAUUCAGUUAUUUCUGAAGAAGACAUGGUGUUCCCUAAGGCCUGCUGGAGAUCUUUUGAAAUUUGAUUUGAAAUAAUCAAAUACGUCUUAAAAUUAAUUCAUAAAAUAACUUUCUUUGCAUUAAUUUGAUUCUCAAUCAAGAUACACUGCUAAGAAUUGCUUUACAUUGUUAAUAUGGACUUCUGGAAAGUUCUGAAAUGGAAAAUAAUAGAAUUUUAAUCAUGUGAUACAAUG
Molecule: long non-coding RNA, 1861 nt
Organism: Alosa sapidissima (American shad)
Lineage: Eukaryota; Metazoa; Chordata; Actinopteri; Clupeiformes; Clupeidae
Exons: 4
Source: RefSeq, a predicted model, not a curated record